This 551-nucleotide long non-coding RNA is filed under the name Marmota monax (woodchuck). The record is from RNAcentral. Lineage: Eukaryota; Metazoa; Chordata; Mammalia; Rodentia; Sciuridae.
GCGGCCCAGGCUACUGUGAGAGGGCGCUCGAGGCUGCUGGAGAGCUAGCCUGCGAAGGAGGCGGGGAGGCGGCGGCCGCGCUCACUCGCCCGCUCGCUAGCUUGUUUCUCCGUGUCGCUGCGGGUCCAUCGCUGCGCUUCUUGCUCCCCUAUUGCUCCACUGCACGCCGCAGGAGCAACAGCCCAUCGUCCAGGUCCCAGCUGGGUUUUGGAGUCGUGCGCACCGGUGGACACCGCGCGCGGGUUGAGCCGGCGCCACACCUGUGGAGCCGGCGGCCGUCGAGGGUGCCGGCCGAGGUCCCGAGGCGAGCGUGCUCAGGGAGCCGGCCGCCCGAGCCCCGGGGGAGGCGCGACCCCUGGCUGGGCGCCGUGGGCAGCAUGGGGCUCCCCGCGCUCGAGUUCAGUGACUGCUGCCUCGACAGCCCGCACUUCCGAGAGACGCUGAAGUCUCACGAAGCAGAGCUGGAUAAGACCAACAAAUUCAUCAAGGAGCUCAUCAAAGACGGGAAGUCACUCAUCAUCGCGCUCAAGAGUGAGUACCCCGAGCUCCGU